This 203-nucleotide long non-coding RNA is filed under the name Elaeis guineensis (African oil palm). RNAcentral describes it as "long non-coding RNA (EGUI_LNC019286)". The record is from RNAcentral. Lineage: Eukaryota; Viridiplantae; Streptophyta; Magnoliopsida; Arecales; Arecaceae.
AGCAAUGUUAUCAUUGUACCUCGGCUCAACCUCUACAUUUAAAUUUUUCAAUAAUUUAUUAUUUUUUAAUGAUUUUAAAAAAUCAAAAUUUAAAAUCAUCAGUCAAAAUAAUUGUUAAAUAUACCAUAAAUUUUAUUUUAUUUUUUUUAAAUUCUUCCAUCUUCCAACUCAAGUGAAAUAAAGGAGGAUCUUGCGGGUGAAAC